RNAcentral lists this transfer RNA (90 nucleotides) under Xylophilus ampelinus. Its description in RNAcentral is "tRNA-Ser". It matches the Rfam family "tRNA". From Rfam's summary of the family: Transfer RNA (tRNA) molecules are approximately 80 nucleotides in length. Their secondary structure includes four short double-helical elements and three loops (D, anti-codon, and T loops). Further hydrogen bonds mediate the characteristic L-shaped molecular structure. tRNAs have two regions of fundamental functional importance: the anti-codon, which is responsible for specific mRNA codon recognition, and the 3' end, to which the tRNAs corresponding amino acid is attached (by aminoacyl-tRNA synthetases). tRNAs cope with the degeneracy of the genetic code in two manners: having more than one tRNA (with a specific anti-codon) for a particular amino acid; and 'wobble' base-pairing, i.e. permitting non-standard base-pairing at the 3rd anti-codon position. The record is from RNAcentral. RNAcentral also lists the same sequence under 3 other names. Lineage: Bacteria; Pseudomonadati; Pseudomonadota; Betaproteobacteria; Burkholderiales.
GGAGAGGUGGCAGAGUGGUCGAAUGUACCUGACUCGAAAUCAGGCGUGUAUGAAAGUGCACCGUGGGUUCGAAUCCCACCCUCUCCGCCA